RNAcentral lists this ribosomal RNA (484 nucleotides) under uncultured bacterium. RNAcentral describes it as "partial 16S ribosomal RNA". It matches the Rfam family "Bacterial small subunit ribosomal RNA", at positions 30 to 507 of the family's 1533-position model. The record is from RNAcentral.
AUUGAACGCUGGCGGCAGGCCUAACACAUGCAAGUCGAGCGGAUGAAGGGAGCUUGCUCCUGGAUUCAGCGGCGGACGGGUGAGUAAUGCCUAGGAAUCUGCCUGGUAGUGGGGGAUAACGUCCGGAAACGGGCGCUAAUACCGCAUACGUCCUGAGGGAGAAAGUGGGGGAUCUUCGGACCUCACGCUAUCAGAUGAGCCUAGGUCGGAUUAGCUAGUUGGUGGGGUAAAGGCCUACCAAGGCGACGAUCCGUAACUGGUCUGAGAGGAUGAUCAGUCACACUGGAGCUGAGACGAGGUCCAGACUCCUACGGGAGGCAGCAGUGGGGAAGAUUAGACGAUGGGGGAAAGCCUGAUGCAGCCAUGCCGCGUGUUGGAAGAAGGUCUUCGGAUUGUAAAGCACUUUAAGUUGGGAGGAAGGGCAGUAAGUUAAUACCUUGCUGUUUUGACGUUACCAACAGAAUAAGCACCGGCUAACUUCGUG